Molecule: ribosomal RNA, 515 nt
Filed under: uncultured bacterium
Lineage: Bacteria
Description: partial 16S ribosomal RNA
Rfam family: Bacterial small subunit ribosomal RNA
Source: RNAcentral
GAUGAACGCUGGCGGCGUGCCUAAUACAUGCAAGUCGAGCGAAUGGAUUAAGAGCUUGCUCUUAUGAAGUUAGCGGCGGACGGGUGAGUAACACGUGGGUAACCUGCCCAUAAGACUGGGAUAACUCCGGGAAACCGGGGCUAAUACCGGAUAACAUUUUGAACCGCAUGGUUCGAAAUUGAAAGGCGGCUUCGGCUGUCACUUAUGGAUGGACCCGCGUCGCAUUAGCUAGUUGGUGAGGUAACGGCUCACCAAGGCAACGAUGCGUAGCCGACCGGAGAGGGAGAUCGGCAGCACUGGGACUGAGACACGGCCCAGACUCCGACGGGAGGCAGCAGUAGGGAAUCUUCCGAAAUGGACGAAAGUCUGACGGAGCAACGCCGCGUGAGUGAUGAAGGCUUUCGGGUCGUAAAACUCUGUUGUUAGGGAAGAACAAGUGCUAGUUGAAUAAGCUGGCACCUUGACGGUACCUAACCAGAAAGCCACGGCUAACUGCGUGCCAGCAGCCGCAGUAA